This 253-nucleotide ribosomal RNA is filed under the name uncultured bacterium. RNAcentral describes it as "partial 16S ribosomal RNA". It matches the Rfam family "Bacterial small subunit ribosomal RNA", at positions 524 to 776 of the family's 1533-position model. The record is from RNAcentral.
UACAGAGGGGGCAAGCGUUGUUCGGAAUUACUGGGCGUAAAGGGCGCGUAGGCGGCCUUCUAAGUCGAACGUGAAAUCCCCGGGCUCAACCCGGAAACUGCCGUUGAUACUAUCUGUCUUGAAUAUCGUGGAGGUAAGCGGAAUAUGUCAUGUAGCGGUGAAAUGCUUAGAUAUGACAUAGAACACCCAUUGCGAAGGCAGCUUACUACACGAUCAUUGACGCUGAGGCACGAAAGCGUGGGGAGCAAACAGG